This 2318-nucleotide long non-coding RNA is filed under the name Ananas comosus (pineapple). Its description in RNAcentral is "long non-coding RNA (ACOM_LNC024337)". Lineage: Eukaryota; Viridiplantae; Streptophyta; Magnoliopsida; Poales; Bromeliaceae. The record is from RNAcentral.
ACCGCUCGCCGCGCCCGAAUCGUGCCAAAUUGGUAGUGAUCUCGGGGCGGGGCGUGACAUGAGUAGUCUAAUGUUGUUCCGGUUUUUGUUCUUGUGAACAUUGACAUCGAUUCGUUCCAAAUUUACACUCUCGGGGCAUAAUAGAACAAUAUAAUUAGGUUUUACGCUUUAUUAGAUAGAAUGAGAAAAAGUACCCGUUGCAAAGUUAUACUGUUAGGGUGCAACUGAGUAGUCUAAUGUUAUUCUGAUUUUUAUUCUUGUGAACGUUGACAUCGAUUCGUUCCAAAUUUACAAUCUCGGGGCAUAAUAGAACAAUAUAAUUAGGUUUUACUCUUUGUUCGAUAGAAUGCGAAAAAGUACUCGUUGUAAAGAUAUACUGUUAGGGCGCAACUGAGUAUUCUAAUGUUGAUCUGGUUUUGGUUCUUAUGAAUGUAGACAUCAAUUCAUUCCAAAUUUGCACUCUCGGGGCAUAAUAGAACAAUAUAAUUAGGUUUUACACUUUGUUCGAUAGAAUGAGAAAAAGUACUCGUUGUAAAGUUAUACUGUUAGGGCGCAACGAAGUAUUCUAAUGUUGUUCCGGUUUUGGUUCUUGUGAACGUUGACAUCGAUUCACUCAAAAUUUACACUCUCGGGGCAUAAUAGAACAAUAUAAUUAGGUUUUACUUUUUGUUCGAUCGAAUGAGAAAAAGCACUCGUUGUAAAGUUAUACNGUUUUUGUUCUUGUGAGCGUUGACAUCGAUUCGUUCCAAAUUUACACUCUCUAGGCAUAAUAGAACAAUAUAAUUAGGUUUUACGCUUUCUUCAAAAAAAUGAGAAAAAUUACUCGUUGCAAAGUUAUACAGUUAGGGCGCAACUGAGUAGUCUAAUGUUAUUCCGGUUUUUGUUCUUAUGAGCGUUGACAUCGAUUCGUUCCAAAUUUACAAUCUCUGGGCAUAAUAGAACAAUAUAAUUAGAUUUUACGCUUUCUUCGAUAAAAUGAGAAAAAGCACUCGUUGCAAAGUUAUUCUGUUAUGGCGCAACUGAGUUGUUUAAUGUUGUUCCGGUUUUUGUUCUUGUGAGCGUUGAUAUCGAUUCGUUCCAAAUUUACACUCUCUGGGCAUCAUAGAACAAUAUAAUUAGGUUUUACGAUUUUUUUUAUAAAAUGAGAAAAAUUACUCGUUGCAAAGUUAUACUGUUAUGGCGCAACUGAAGUGCCUAAUGUUGUUCCAGUUUUUGUUCUUGUGAGCGUUGACAUCGAUUCGUUCCAAAUUUACACUCUCUAGGCAUAAUAGAACAAUAUAAUUAGGCUUUACGCUUUCUUCGAUAAAAUGAGAAAAAGUACUCGUUGCAAAGUUAUACUGUUAGGGCGCAACAGAUUUGUCUAAUGUUGUUCCGGUUUUUGUUCUUAUGAGCGUUGACAUCGAUUCGUUCCAAAUUUACACUCUCUGGGCAUAAUAGAACAAUGUAAUUGGAUUUCACGCUUUUUUCGAUAAAAUGAGAAAAAGCACUUGUUGCAAAGUUAUUCUGUUAUGGCGCAACUGAGUUGUUUAAUGUUGUUCGGAUUUUUGUUCUUGUGAGCGUUGACAUCGAUUCGUUCUAAAUUUACACUCUCGGGGCAUAAUAGAACAAUAUAAUUAGGUUUUACGCUUUCUUCGAUAAAAUAAGAAAAAGCACUCGUUGCAAAGUUAUACUGUUUGGGCGCAACUGAGUAGUCUAAUGUUAUUCCGAUUUUUGUUCUUAUGAACGGUGACAUCGAUUCGUUCCAAAUUUAUAAUCAAGGGGUAAAAUAGAACAAUAUAAUUAGGUUUUACUCUUUGUUCGAUAGAAUGCGAAAAUAUACUCGUUGUAAAGUUAUACUGUUAGAGCACAACUGAGUAUUCUAAUGUUGUUCCGGUUUUGGUUCAUAUGAAUGUUGACCUCAAUUCAUUCCAAAUUUGCACUCUCGAGGCAUAAUAGAACAAUAUAAUUAGGUUUUACUCUUUGUUCGAUAGAAUGAGAAAAAGUAAUCGUUGUAAAGUUAUACUGUUAGGGCGCAACGAAGUAUUCUAUUGUUGUUCCGGUUUAGGUUCUUAUGAACGUUGACAUCAAUUCCUUCCAAAUUUACACUCUCUGGGCAUAAUAGAACAAUAUAAUUAGNNNNNNNNNNNNNNNNNNNNNNNNNUGAGCGUUGACAUCGAUUCGUUCCAAAUUUACACUCUCUGGGCAUAAUAGAACAAUAUAAUUUGGUUUUACGCUUUCUUCGAUAAAAUGAGAAAAAGUAUUCGUUGCAAAGUUCUACUGUUAGGGCGCAACUGAGUAGUCUAAUGUUGUUCCGGUUUUGGUUCUUUUGAACGUUGACA